GAUGAAUGCUGGCGGCGUGCCUAACACAUGCAAGUCGAGCGGCAGCGCGAGUAGUUUACUACUUGGCGGCGAGCGGCGGACGGCUGAGUAACGCGUGGGAACGUGCCCCAAAGUGAGGAAUAACUGCCCGAAAGGGUGGCUAAUGCCGCAUAUGAUCUUCGGAUUAAAGUCUUCGGACGCUUUGGGAGCGGCCCGCGUCGGAUUAGGUUGUUGGUGAGGUAAUGGCUCACCAAGCCGACGAUCCGUAGCUGGUCUGAGAGGAUGAUCAGCCAGACUGGGACUGAGACACGGCCCAGACUCCUACGGGAGGCAGCAGUGAGGAAUCCUCCACAAUGGGCGAAAGCCUGAUGGAGCAACGCCGCGUGCAGGAUGAAUGCCUUCGGGUUGUAAACUGCUUUUAUAAGUGAAGAAUAUGACGGUAACUUAUGAAUAAGCACCGGCUAACUACGUGCCAGCAGCCGCCGUAA
RNAcentral lists this ribosomal RNA (467 nucleotides) under uncultured bacterium. Its description in RNAcentral is "partial 16S ribosomal RNA". It matches the Rfam family "Bacterial small subunit ribosomal RNA", at positions 28 to 523 of the family's 1533-position model. The record is from RNAcentral.